Coffea arabica (coffee) is the source of this 868-nucleotide RNA transcript. It is a transcript of the gene named vacuolar protein sorting-associated protein 20 homolog 2-like, with no coding region annotated. Lineage: Eukaryota; Viridiplantae; Streptophyta; Magnoliopsida; Gentianales; Rubiaceae. The record is from RefSeq and is a predicted model, not a curated record.
GGCAAUGAAAGGCCAACAGUGGGGUGAGUAGGGUUUAAAAUGUUGGCAAUAUUUUUGACAAAGCAAACAAUUGAUGAAAAAAGUUGACGCAUUAAUCUAGCAAAAUCAAAGCAAUCAGUGAGGAAAUCAAAGCACCGGCCAAAGAUGAAGAUUAGUAGUGAAGCAUAGGUGAUCAAUGGCAGCGAAGUGGGUGAAAAGGCGAAGAGAUGAGCUCAUUGGUCCCUAAAAUGUCUCGGCCGAGCACCAGAACCCAGGAGUCGGCAGCUAACCCACUUUGUUAAACUUUAUUGCAUCUGGGCUUUAGCCUUUUCCUUCUUUCUUUCUUUCUUUCUUUUCUUUUCUUCCUAGGGUCUUCCAAAAAUUGAGGGAUUUUUUGAGUUUUUGUCAUAAUUAGAUUUUCUAUUCUGUUUGGUUGUACAAGAAUUUCUAUUAAGCACAAAGUUUGGAUUUUUAAUUGGUAUAACUGUUCAUUGGAUUGGAAAAACAGCUUUUCAAUCAUCAAUUUUUCUAGCUUUUCUUGGGGGGUCUUAGGAUAGAGGGGAUUGAAUAAUGGGAAAUGUAUUUGUGAAGAAACCAAAAAUAACAGAGGUGGAUCGGGCAAUCCUCUCCCUCAAGACCCAAAGGCGUAAGCUUGCUCAAUACCAGCAACAGUGUUUCAGCUGGAGAAUGUGAUUGAGGCUGAGAAGCAAGCUGCAAGGGACCUGCUUCGUGAAAAGAAGAAAGAUGGGGCCUUACUAGCAUUGAAAAAGAAGAAAGUACAGGAAGAACUAUUAAAGCAAGUAGAUACCUGGCUCAUUAAUGUUGACAGCAAGUGAUUCCUUCUUUAUGUUUUUUUUUUUUUUUUUUUUUCAUGUUUAUCAUUCAUCCA